RNAcentral lists this ribosomal RNA (492 nucleotides) under uncultured bacterium. Its description in RNAcentral is "partial 16S ribosomal RNA". It matches the Rfam family "Bacterial small subunit ribosomal RNA", at positions 29 to 507 of the family's 1533-position model. The record is from RNAcentral.
AGUGAACGCUGGCGGUAGGCCUAACACAUGCAAGUCGAACGGCAGCACAGUAAGAGCUUGCUCUUACGGGUGGCGAGUGGCGGACGGGUGAGGAAUACAUCGGAAUCUACUUUUUCGUGGGGGAUAACGUAGGGAAACUUACGCUAAUACCGCAUACGACCUACGGGUGAAAGCAGGGGAUCUUCGGACCUUGCGCGAUUCAAUGAGCCGAUGUCGGAUUAGCUAGUUGGCGGGGUAAAGGCCCACCAAGGCGACGAUCCGUAGCUGGUCUGAGAGGAUGAUCAGCCACACUGGAACUGAGACACGGUCCAGACUCCUACGGGAGGCAGCAGUGGGGAAUAUUGGACAAUGGGCGCAAGCCUGAUCCAGCCAUACUGCGUGGGUGAAGAAGGCCUUCGGGUUGUAAAGCCCUGUUGUUGGGAAAGAAAAGCAGCAGGUUAAUACCCCGCUGUUCUGACGGUACCCAAAGAAUAAGCACCGGCUAACUUCGUG